Molecule: ribosomal RNA, 484 nt
Filed under: uncultured bacterium
Lineage: Bacteria
Description: partial 16S ribosomal RNA
Rfam family: Bacterial small subunit ribosomal RNA
Source: RNAcentral
AGUGAACGCUGGCGGCAUGCUUUACACAUGCAAGUCGAACGGCAGCGCGGGCUUCGGCCUGGCGGCGAGUGGCGAACGGGUGAGUAAUGCAUCGGAACGUGCCCAGUAGUUGUGGAUAGCCCGGCGAAAGCCGGAUUAAUACCGCAUACGACCUGAGGGCGAAAGCGGGGGACCGAAAGGCCUUGCGCUAUUGGAGCGGCCGAUGUCGGAUUAGCUAGUUGGUGGGGUAAAGGCUUACCAAGGCGACGAUCCGUAGCUGGUCUGAGAGGACGACCAGCCACACUGGGACUGAGACACGGCCCAGACUCCUACGGGAGGCAGCAGUGGGGAAUUUUGGACAAUGGGGGCAACCCUGAUCCAGCCGUGCCGCGUGCGGGAAGAAGGCCUUCGGGUUGUAAACCGCUUUUGUUCGGGAAGAAAUCCUCUAGGCUAAUACCCCGGGGGGAUGACGGUACCGGAAGAAUAAGCACCGGCUAACUACGUG